UAGUCCACGCCGUAAACGAUGAUUACUCGCUGUAGGCGAUACACAGUCUGUGGCUAAGCGAAAGUUUUAAGUAAUCCACCUGGGGAGUACGAUCGCAAGAUUGAAACUCAAAGGAAUUGACGGGGGCCCGCACAAGCGGAGGAACAUGUGGUUUAAUUCGAUGAUACGCGAGGAACCUUACCUGGACUUAAAUGUGCGUUGCAUGGAUCAGAGAUGGAUUCCUUCAGUUCGGCUGGAUUGGAUACAGGUGCUGCAUGGCUGUCGUCAGCUCGUGUCGUGAGAUGUUGGGUUAAGUCCCGCAACGAGCGCAACCCUCGCCUUUAGUUGCCAUCAUUUAGUUGGGCACUCUAAAGGGACUGCCGGUGAUAAGCCGGAGGAAGGUGGGGGAUGGACGUCAAGUCCUCAUGGCCCUUACGGGGCUGGGGCUACACACGUGCUACAAUGGGUAGUGACAAUGGGGCAGGCGAGACCG
This 472-nucleotide ribosomal RNA is filed under the name uncultured bacterium. RNAcentral describes it as "bacterial SSU rRNA". It matches the Rfam family "Bacterial small subunit ribosomal RNA", at positions 791 to 1257 of the family's 1533-position model. The record is from RNAcentral.